Molecule: long non-coding RNA, 1030 nt
Filed under: Lynx pardinus (Iberian lynx)
Lineage: Eukaryota; Metazoa; Chordata; Mammalia; Carnivora; Felidae
Source: RNAcentral
UUUGGUCAAUCUUCAAGUCAUCCUACUGGCAACAUUUUUUAACACAGAGCACCAUUUGAAGAAAAUAUCACAGGCCCACUACUCAUCCAAGAAAUGGUUACUUCUGAGGGCAAGCUGCUUUCGGAGGGUCCAGGAAGCCCUGACUGACAUCAUUCGAGGAUCAACCUUGUACUCCAAACACGGGAGGGCAGGCGAGUCAGAUGAGAAUUGUAUCUUGUGCAGGACACUGAGCAAAAAGACAGGGCCCCCGACAUCAGUAGUGCAGGGAUUAAGGACUAUUGGAGAGCUGCAAUACCAGAGCCAGAGAACAGAGUUGACAGCGGGAACUUUGUGCACUUUCCCCUGAGGACUCCAUUCUGUUCUCACAACGGCCAGGCAUCUGAGAGGUAGGAACGUACACACAAGGACACCCAGAGGCCUGUGGUCUGAGAGUCAGCCGCGCAAGCUUCUGAGUAAACGUUUUUCAGGAUUCCAGAGUGGUGCUGGGGGAUGGUUUUACAGGAGAGACAAAUCAGCCACGUGCAGAAAAUGCAACGCCACGGAAACGAAUCCAACUUGCUUCUCUGACAGAGAGAAGGCAAUGAAAUCCUUCAGGCCACCGGGCGAGCAGCCUCUGCUGCUGGGGGUCCUAGCUCGGGCUCAUCACUGCUGGUUUAUCAGAUGACAUUCUCUGCCAGGCCCGAUAUGUUAAGGCGGCCCUGGCUUGGGGGCUUUCUCUGCUCAUGAGAGAAAGAGCGUGGAUGAGACUGUGUUUUCCUUUGCAGAACUUGACUGUUCAUCCCUCAUGCCACACCCGAAAUCAGAAGCCCACACCAUGCUUGGCUUUUCCAAAAUAAUGACUCUAAUAUAACAUCAAAAAUAGCUGUGUCAACUCACCUUUGAGAAGUAGGUGGAGGGGCAGAUGUCAUAACGACCUAACACCGAGGAGUAAUUAGACCAAUAUUAAAUGUUAUUGCCCCCAGCCAGCGUAGUUCUAUGCGACUACUUGAACUGACUCGAACGCAGCGCAUAAUGUGAGCACGAUACAAUU